UACAGAGGGGGCAAGCGUUGUUCGGAAUUACUGGGCGUAAAGGGCGCGUAGGCGGCCUGUUAAGUCGAACGUGAAAUCCCUGGGCUCAACCCAGGAACUGCGUCCGAUACUGGCAGGCUUGAAUCCGGGAGAGGGAUGUGGAAUUCCAGGUGUAGCGGUGAAAUGCGUAGAUAUCUGGAGGAACACCGGUGGCGAAGGCGGCAUCCUGGACCGGUACUGACGCUGAGGCACGAAAGCGUGGGGAGCAAACAGG
This 253-nucleotide ribosomal RNA is filed under the name uncultured bacterium. RNAcentral describes it as "partial 16S ribosomal RNA". It matches the Rfam family "Bacterial small subunit ribosomal RNA", at positions 524 to 776 of the family's 1533-position model. The record is from RNAcentral.